GACGAACGCUGGCGGCGUGCUUAACACAUGCAAGUCGAACGGGCUCUGUCUGGCUGUGUGCUGGGUGGGGUUAGUGGCGAACGGGUGAGUAAUACGUGAGUAACCUGCCCUCUUCUUUGGGAUAAGCCUUGGAAACGGGGUCUAAUACUGGAUAUUCCUGUCUGGUCGCAUGGCUGGGUGGGGAAAGUUUUUUUCGGUGGGGGAUGGGCUCGCGGCCUAUCAGCUUGUUGGUGGGGUGAUGGCCUACCAAGGCGUCGACGGGUAGCCGGCCGGAGAGGGUGACCGGCCACACUGGGACUGAGAUACGGCCCAGACUCCUACGGGAGGCAGCAGUGGGGGAUAUUGCACAAUGGGCGCAAGCCUGAUGCAGCGACGCCGCGUGGGGGAUGACGGCUUUCGGGUUGUAAACCUCUUUCGUCGGGGGACAAGGCUCUGCUUGGUGGUGGGGUUGAGGGUACCCGGUGAAGAAGCGCCGGCUAACUACGUG
RNAcentral lists this ribosomal RNA (487 nucleotides) under uncultured bacterium. RNAcentral's name for it is "partial 16S ribosomal RNA". It matches the Rfam family "Bacterial small subunit ribosomal RNA", at positions 28 to 507 of the family's 1533-position model. The record is from RNAcentral.